AUCGAUCUGAAGGCAUAGCCACGUGCUCUUCUAUUUCUUUCAUUCGGAAGGAAAAGAGGUCUGUGGCCCUAUAAAAAGUAACGUAACUAACUACAUCAGUGGGAUAUGGUGAUCUCCAUUAAGAGCGAUGAGCUCUCUUCCAAGUGAUCAGCCUUGCCUCCUUUCGACGGUGGUUUCUUUCCAACAAUUUUUUAAAGAGUUUGUUGAAGGAGAGAGUGCACCGAAAUGUGCUUUUCCCAAAGCAUAUGCUGGGAAGAUCCCUCCUCCCAACAACCUCACACCCUACAUAAGUCAAUCCUUCGCAGGUUUUUCCAUAUAAUCUGCUCUUCCCUUCAAGAGCAUCAUCUACUUCACACGACACGCCCUAAGCUUCUGGUGGCUCUAGGAGUGGUGGCCAUGGCAGCUGGCAGCCAACAGCCCAAGCUGCGGUGGUGGACACUGAAGAUGACAGGCGGUGCUAGGAAGAAGAGGAAGACUGCACUGAUGGUUAGAUAGUUACCGGGAGAUCACGACUUCUUUCGGGGCGACUCAGAUCCUUUGGCAAAGCGUCUUCGCCAAGAUGCUCAAGCUUGUAACUAUUUUGCUACUGCAUUCAGUACUCCCUGUGGGAGAUCAUGCCAUGCUAUUACUACUCUCGCCUAAAUGCAUAACUUAACCAUACUAAAUGAUGAACAUGCUGGAGUUGUUCUAUACUCUUUGCAGUGAUCUGAACUGCACUUGUAUUCCCUCUUUGCUGUUCAAAUAGAUACCUUUUUUGUUUCA
Non-coding RNA from Punica granatum (pomegranate), 762 nucleotides. The record is from RefSeq and is a predicted model, not a curated record. NCBI's taxonomy places the organism in Eukaryota, Viridiplantae, Streptophyta, Magnoliopsida, Myrtales, Lythraceae.